UACAUCUGAAGGAGGACAAGGACAAGAGGAGACACAGGUCAACUCUAGACUUAGAAAGAAGUCUGGAUAAACACAGGAGGAAUAAACAUAUCAACAGGAAAAGGAAGGAGAGAGAGAGAUACCAGGCUGAGGAAGUGAUCAGCAGAAGCUAAAAGUAAAGGAUUCCAGAUUUAGUAGUGAUGCUAACAAUGAGUCUGCUAUCAUUUCUAAAUGAAUUAAAUUAAGUAAGAGAUUUCCUAACUUUAGGGUCAUGUCUGAUGAAUAAAUUAGAGGAUGAUUAUAUCAUCUCCUGUGUGCUUUACGUCUGAUUAAAAUGCCGUAGAAAAGAUCAAAGCUGAAAAGAGAGGUUUCUUUUCAUCAUGGAGUACUUCAUUGAGCGUGUUAAUGAGGAAACAAAGCGUACUCAGCGAAGCAGAAGAUGCUCGGUGGAUUGGAAGUGUUUGACAUGAGCACAUGAGCAGGAGACGCCUGAGGAUCCUCAGACAUGCUGAAGAGGUCUGGAUAAAAUGCUGAAGGAGGCUGAUAACCAGACGGAUGUCAUCAUGUUUGAAAUCUUGUCACUCACGUUAUUUUGGCCAGAUCCUGUCUGGUGUUUGUUCUUUUCUCAGGACGAUAUCAGGAGAGAUCUGAUUGUUGGAGCGCCCCAACGCCGUGCAGAUGAGCCGUAAACAUGGACGAGAGAGUAUUGUUUGGCAGGAGGAGGUCCACUGGGGGUCCGAUGGGUCGUCCAGCCUUCUUUGGACAAAGUUUGUAUUUUUUUAGGGGCUCUCAUGUGUGUUGACUUACUUUCAGUUUUAUAUAGUUUGUUUGUUGAGGCUCAAUGGAACUGGAAAAGGGGGGAAUGAAGUGUCUGAUCCUUUGACUAUGUCUGGUUGCAGCUGCAGCAGUCUGCCUUUUGCUGAGGGUCAGUGAAUUCUCGGCUCCAUUCAUAGCGUUUUCCAGAGCUCAGCUUAGGAACGGUCUCUGUAAAACCAGUAUAAGGAGGGCUGACACAGACAGCAGGGGGAGUCUCUACAACUGGCCCAGAGACCUCACUGAUGCUGCAGAUGUGUUCAAAGGCUCACUUUUGUAAUAAACCUUUUUUAAUUGUUCA
Long non-coding RNA from Melanotaenia boesemani (Boeseman's rainbowfish), 1093 nucleotides. RefSeq lists it as uncharacterized. The record is from RefSeq and is a predicted model, not a curated record. NCBI's taxonomy places the organism in Eukaryota, Metazoa, Chordata, Actinopteri, Atheriniformes, Melanotaeniidae. The transcript has 3 exons.